AGUGAACGCUGGCGGUAGGCCUAACACAUGCAAGUCGAACGGCAGCACAGUAAGAGCUUGCUCUUACGGGUGGCGAGUGGCGGACGGGUGAGGAAUACAUCGGAAUCUACUUUUUCGUGGGGGAUAACGUAGGGAAAGUUAUGCUAAUACAGCAUACGACCUACGGGUGAAAGCAGGGGUUCUUCGGACUUUGCGCGAUUGAAUGAGCCGAUGUCGGAUUAGCUAGUUGGCGGGGUAAAGGCCCACCAAGGCGACGAUCCGUAGCUGGUCUGAGAGGAUGAUCAGCCACACUGGAACUGAGACACGGUCCAGACUCCUACGGGAGGCAGCAGUGGGGAAUAUUGGACAAUGGGCGCAAGCCUGAUCCAGCCAUACCGCGUGGGUGAAGAAGGCCUUCGGGUUGUAAAGCCCUUUUGUUGGGAAAGAAAAGCAGCAGGUUAAUACCCCGCUGUUCUGACGGUACCCAAAGAAUAAGCACCGGCUAACUUCGUG
Molecule: ribosomal RNA, 492 nt
Filed under: uncultured bacterium
Lineage: Bacteria
Description: partial 16S ribosomal RNA
Rfam family: Bacterial small subunit ribosomal RNA
Source: RNAcentral